This 2129-nucleotide long non-coding RNA is filed under the name Anas zonorhyncha (Eastern spot-billed duck). Its description in RNAcentral is "lncRNA (ENSAZOG00000005272.1)". The record is from RNAcentral. Lineage: Eukaryota; Metazoa; Chordata; Aves; Anseriformes; Anatidae.
GGGGUGGAGGAGGUUGAGGAGGUUGGAGGAGGUUGGGAUGGGUUGGAGGACCUCAACCUUUGAGAACAUGGCUUGGAGGACCUCGAGGAGGUUGGAGGACAUGGGUUGGAGGAGGUCGAGGAGGUUGAAGGACAUGGGGAUGGGUUGGAGGACCUCAACCUUUGAGGACAUGGCUUGGAGGACAUCAAGGAGCUUUGAGGACAUGGGUUGGAAGAGUUCUUGGAGGAUGGAGGAGGUGGGGAUGGGUUGGAGGACCUGGAGGACGUUGGAGGAUGUGGGGUGGAGGAGGUUGAGGAGGUUGAAGGACAUGAGCAUGGGUUGGAGGACCUCAAGGUUUGAGAACAUGGCUUGGAGGACCUCAAAGAGGUUGGAGGACAAGAGUUGGAGAAGGUUGAGGAGGUUGGAGGAGGUUUGGAUGAGGUGGAGGACGUGAAGGUUGGAGGAUGUGGGGUGGAGGACCUCAAGGAGGUUGAAGGAGGUGGGGUGGAGGAGGUCAAUGAGGUUGGAGGACAUGGGGAUGGGUUGGAGGGCCUCGAGGAGGUUGGAGGACAAGAGGUGGAGGAGGUUGGAGGAGGUUGGGAUGGGUUGGAGGACCUCAAGUGUUGAGAACAUGGCUUGGAGGACCUCAACGGGGGUUGAGGACAUGGGUUGGAGGAGGUUGGAGAAGGUUGGGAUGGGUUGGAGGACCUCAACCUUUGAGAACAUGGCUUGGAGAACCUCGAAGAGGUUGGAGGAGAAGAGUUGGAGGAGGUUGAGGAGGUUGGAGGAGGUUGGGAUGGGUUGGAGGACCUCGAGGUUGGAGGACAUGGCUUGGAGGACCUCAAGGAGGUUGGAGGAGAAGAGUUGGAGGACCUCCAGGAGGUUUGGGGACACAAAUUUGGGGACAUUUGGGACAUUUGGGGACAUGGGGAGGGGUUUGAGGACCUCGAGGAGGUUUGGGGACACAAAUUUGGGGACAUUUGGGGACACGGGGACAAAUCGGAGGUCCUCGAGGUUUGGGGACAUGAAUUUGGGGUCGUUUGGGACAUUUGGGGACACGAAUUUGGGGACAUUUGGGGACACGAAUUUGGGGACGUUUGGGGACACGAAUUUGGGGUCGUUUGGGACAUUUGGGGACACGAAUUUGGGGACAUUGAGGUUCGGGACUUUUGGGACGUUUGGGGACACGAAUUUGGGGACAUUUGGGGACACGAAUUUGGGGACGUUUGGGGACACGAAUUUGGGGUCGUUUGGGACAUUUGGGGACACGAAUUUGGGGACGUUUGGGGACAGCGGCCCCCCGGGGCCAGCCGGGGCUUUUUGGGUGGUUUUGGGGCCCCCAAGGGGGGAUUUGGGGAAAUUUGGGGACGUUUGGUGGCCCGGGGGGGACGCGGGGACGUCACCGGGGGCCGCGGGGUGGCCGCGUCUUCUUCUGGGGGGACCUGCGGGGGAAGGAGGGCAAGGAUGGUCCCAAAUUGCCCCAAAAUUGCCCCAAAAUGGUCCCAAAAACCCAAAAUCCCAAAAUAUAAGCCCAAAAGCACCCAAAAUGGCCCUAAAACCACCCAAAAUGGCCCCAAAACCACCCAAAAUGGCCCCCAAACCACCCUAAAUGUCCCCCAAACCCACCCAAAUGGUCCCAAAUGGCCCCAAAAUGACCCCAAAAUGGUCCCAAAAACCCCAAAUCCCAAAAUAUAACCCCAAAAGCACCCAAAAUGGCCCCCAAACCCACCAAAUGUCCCCCCAAAACCACCAAAAUGGCCCCAAAUGGCCCCAAAUGUCCCCAGUGUCNNNNNNNNNNAAAUCCCAAAAUAUCCCCCAAAAGCACCCAAAAUGGCCCCAAAAGCACCCAAAAUGGCCCCCCAAACACCCAAAAUGGCCCCAAAACCACCCUAAAUGUCCCCCAAACCCACCCAAAUGGUCCCAAAUGGCCCCAAAAUGGCCCCAAAAUGGUCCCAAAAACCCAAAAUCCCAAAAUAUCCCCCAAAAGCACCCAAAAUGGCCCCAAAAGCACCCAAAAUGGCCCCCCAAACACCCAAAAUGGCCCCAAAACCACCCUAAAUGUCCCCCAAACCCACCCAAAUGGUCCCAAAUGGCCCCAAAUAAAUGACCCCAAAUGUCCCCAAAUGUCCCCAGUGUCCCCAAAAACCCCA